Molecule: ribosomal RNA, 402 nt
Filed under: bacterium
Lineage: Bacteria
Description: partial 16S ribosomal RNA
Rfam family: Bacterial small subunit ribosomal RNA
Source: RNAcentral
UGGGGAAUUUUGCACAAUGGGGGAAACCCUGAUGCAGCGACGCCGCGUGAUUUAGAAGGCCUUCGGGUUGUAAAAAUCUUUUUUACGGGAUGAAAAUGACAGUACCGUAAGAAUAAGGUCCGGCUAAAUACGUGCCAGCAGCCGCGGUAAUACGUAUGGACCGAGCGUUGUCCGGAAUCAUUGGGCGUAAAGGGUACGUAGGCGGCCUAGUAAGUUAGAAGUGAAAUAAUAUAGCUCAACUAUAUAAAGCUUUUAAAACUGCUAGGCUUGAGAGAUGGAAGGGAAAGUGGAAUUCCUAGUGUAGCGGUGAAAUGCGCAGAUAUUAGGAAGAAUACCGGUGGCGAAGGCGACUUUCUGGCCAUCAUCUGACGCUGAGGUACGAAAGCGUGGGUAGCAAACAGG